Molecule: long non-coding RNA, 4859 nt
Filed under: Accipiter nisus (Eurasian sparrowhawk)
Lineage: Eukaryota; Metazoa; Chordata; Aves; Accipitriformes; Accipitridae
Description: lncRNA (ENSANIG00000001212.1)
Source: RNAcentral
AUGGCUUCCACCCCAGCCAGAUUGCUGCAGCCCUUGGAACAAGAAUUACCUGGCAGAAGGUGCUACAUGAAUGGCCUCAAGUGCUUGGAAGGGAGAAUCCAUUCAACGAUCAGAUUGAAGCUAUAUUCAAAGAUCAAGGUGGACACUGACUUCCAAACUGCCAGAGCCCUGACAUGGUUUACGGUGAUGCUUCCCAGUGCAUUCCACAAAACAAGAUGAUUAACAACACACACUAAAAAAGGGGGAGGCCAAGUUAUCGGAGCCAGUAGCAGCAGACAUAACACAACAGCAUUCUUUUUGGUUUGUAUCUCACCUGCACUAGUAGGCUAUGCUUUUUCUGUGGAGCAACAAAAAUAAAAAUCAAAGGAUACCUGCCAGCUGACCAUUUAUUGUACUGGUUUGCAAAUCCGUUCAAUUUUAUUCUAUAUAGCACAAACUCCUAGCCCUACCUCUGUUUUACACCACCCCCCCCGCCCCCCCGCAGAACAUUAUUUCUGGGUUUUCCAUUUGUAGUGUUUCGACAGUUAAUCUGAUCCCCAAAACUGGGGAGGGUGGGGGGGCAACCCAAACUCAUUAUGUUGCUAUAAAUUGUGUGUAUGUAAUUAGCCUGACUGUCAAUACAUAAUUUAGCUGCUAUUUGCUUAUUAAAAUGUGCCAGGAAUAAUAGGGCACUAGGAUUUUGAUUUGCCUGGCAGCAUUAGUGCAGGCUGACUAAGCACAGGUACUCUCUCCCCCCCACCCCCCACCCCACUAACAAGGUAGUAGCUUGACAACCCUUCAUGUAUUUAAAACAGGUUGCUUUUUCAACCUUUAGUACAUCUUUGCUCUCUUGCUUCCUAACAAAUAUGACAUAGCCAGUCCUGUAUUUUUACAGGCAUGACCCAGGGAAUCACUGAAGAUAUUGGGCAGCCCUUACCUGUUCUACUUCAUACACAGACUUGAAGGUUGAGAAUUACUGGUAGUUUUUCACUAGCUUAUCCAAUGCUCUUAGCAAAUAAAUAAAUAAAUAUUAAAAAAAUUACAAGACAGCUCUACCCUACUCACAGCCUUACUGGUGAUGAAGGGAUCAGAUAGCAUAAAAUGGCAUUAAUUACAGGUGGGGAAAAAAAUCUGGUAAAUAGAAAGUGUUAACAUGCCAUGACUAAAACCCAACAAAAUCUGCUCUUCGUUCUGAACACAUCCCUUGCUUAAGGUUGCAUCACCCAUGAGCCAGCUCUUAGGCUGCAGUCCAAAGUAGAGGAGAUGGCCUGGCUGCAUAUUGACCUUAGCACACUGGCCACAGCUGUAGGAGAUGCAUCUGCUCAGUAUUUUGAAUAAGCAGAAGAUGACUUGGCUAGUGCUAUUUUGAUUGAAGCAGGUAUUAUUGCUAUCCUAGAUCCUCUUCCUCUUUUUUUUUUAGAGUACAGUCAAUGCUGCAUCUUUUAUUAAGAUAGAAAUUCAUUUGGGACUACUGCUAGCAUUUAAGUAAAUAUUCAAGUCACCUACUUUAGGAAACCAAAAGGGAAUACAUUUCUUAAUUGAAUGAUACUUAUUAAUAAGGCCCCAAUUCAUUCAAGGCGUUUAGAUGUUACCAAAAUAUCCAGUCUCCCAAGAAAUAGUUUCAACUCCACAGAGGCAUGCUUGAGGAAGACUAUUUAGCAUUGGAAGGAAAAGGAAAUCUACCUGCUUCCUGUAUACAUUCUCUCCACCAAACAGCAUAACAUUUGAUGCACACUGGCCAGGUAGAACACCUUCAACCUAUUUUUUUAUUACCUAUCUAAGGCUUCCUAUCUUUCAUUAAAAACAGAUCAAGGACAGAAACAAGUGCAUGCACAUGGGUUUACUAUAGAACAAGUACAGCACAGACAAUUACAGAAUAUCAGAUAAUUUCCUCUACACCAAAAUACAGAAAUGUAGCUAUUAAAAGGGGGAAGGGAACAGUAUGUGUUUAGAAGCCAAAUUUUCAGGCAAUUUCAUUGCAAAUGAUUGUAUUUCAUUUGAGGUUGGGAUUUAAUAAUGCCAAUUAGGAGUUUUACAAGCUACUAAAACUGAAAUUUCCUCAGCUAAAAUAAGCUUCAUUGCCCAGAGCAAAGCAUUUUCCAUUUAUAGAGUUUCUUAUUAGUGAACAUCUUGAAUUUCUGAACAAUGGAGAAAAAAAACCCACCAACACCUUUCUUAUAAAAUUAGAACAGCAUCUUCUCAAAGACAACCUGAAACCCAAAGCAAAGCUCUGUGAUUUGCCCAGUAUAAUUGUUCCAUACAUGAUACGGGGUCUCUGAGGGACUUCAUGACUGGCUGAAGGAGCACUAACCAAGGCCUAUGUCCUCAUGCCUCAGAGGUGAGCUCUGCAGUUCAGAAUUAGGCUGGAUGCAGAAAUUUGAUUUGUAACUAAUGUAGUAACCAUUUGCAAAUAAAGAUGAAUUUCAGGCCUAUUAAGCCGACAGCUUUUACAACCGCUGUGUCUCUCCAUUAUUUCAAAGAAUGCAAAAAACAGCUGAAGAUCUGCACCCCCAACCAUCCAUCACUUACCAAUACCACUCUAAAAAUAAGUGUCCUAUAUUUAAAGAAAUGCUUCUGUAAAAGCUUAUUUAUUCUAAAGCAGUAACAAACUAUGAAUCCUAGUCUAUUCCAUUAGUUUGAGUAUCUCCUGGUGCCUAGGUUGGUUGAAUGUGACAAAUGCAUGGGGAAGAGAGAAAUAAGCAGGAAAAAAAAAAGUUUCUCUCAGAAAGCUAAGUAGUUUCAUGAAAUUCAAACUUCAUAGCAGUACAGAUUUCUAGAAGAAAUGGUCUAUAUCAAGGGCUUUUUGGGGGGAGAGUCAGAGCACCUGAAUAGAGGAAGAAUUAUGUCACUGGCUAGUUCCAAUGCACUGCAAAUAGUAAGCAUUUUUUUUGAGGUUAUUCUGUUCAUAAACCAUUUUUACAGAACUUUAAGCUUUGUUUGAAAUCAGAGUAGGAACUACUUUUGAGGUAUAGAACAUCUAUAGCUACCUGAAGCUAUUGAAUUCAUACCAUCUGGCCUCUUCAAAAAGUAUCUCCAACAAAUAUGGGAAAAAAAAAUGUUUGCCAACACUUUUGAAAAAUUUUCCACAGCUCACCCUUAAAAGAGCAGGGGCAUGCAGGAGGGGAGGAGGUACACAGCAGUGCAAGUCAGUAAAGCUGUAAAUGCAGGCUUGCUGCUCAGCUAGCGUCACACACUUCUGCUGGCUAUAGUAGCACGUGUCAUUGCCACUGACAGCUUGUGUCUAGAACUCACCAUCCAGGUCAGCUUUUCUAACUUACAUCACCCGUUACACAUUCUACCUUUCCUUGAUGAGGAUAAUUUUUCAUCUUGGGCAAUGAACACACAGAGAUUAGUUUCUACAAUGGAUAAUAGCCCAAUUAACCUAAAUAAAGGUGUGUCAUUCCCUUAGAUAUAUCCAGUUCCAUCCUUAAGAUCGUUCUAUGGAUUGAUUUCAUAAUUUUAUAUUUAAUGAUUUUUUUAUUAACAUCCACUUCAAAGUUUUAAGUAGACAGCAUACUGUGUAUUCACAGAUGAAAGUUGCUGUUCCACCAUCCAUGGUUGAUUGCUACUCUACUGCCAUGUCUCCAUCACAAGAGAAAAGGAACCAUCUCACCUCUCCAUACUUGACAAACUGCUGGUCUCUAGCAGCUUCUACAUUCAUAUAUUAACGAAGCAAUUCAUGGGAACUGCCCCUGGACAAUCUGGCUUCCCACUACAAAAUUUGGUGCUAGCUACCCCUGAGGCAUCCCAUUAUCUUCCCAAAUCAAGUGGUAUUUUGGGAUACACAUACUGAAUGGAAUCCUUUCUUAAACAUUGUGUAGAGUCCAGCUUUUCUUCUUCUAGCCUACAAACCAGUAUCUCCAACACAUAGAUGACAUUAUGAAAGAAGCAGAAAGUGUCUUAUUCUUUAUUUUAAAUGAAUAAAAUAAAUCUCAAUACACAGUUUGGAAACAUUUAAAGACAUCAGAAAAAGAUAACUAGAUUUAAAAGCAAGUACAAAAGUGGCAGGAUGAAAAUAGGAUAAGCUACCAGAAUUUAGUGUUUCAAGUGUGAAUAUAUAACAGCAAUAGCAAUUUUAAAUAUUCCACUAUUGUAUUCGCAAUAGUGAAGUAAUGAGAUAGUAUUUCACUAAGCCCAGCAAAAAGCUGUGAAAAUUGCAAGUUUCAACUGAGAAGUUUUGCCAUUUUAAUGAUGGUUCUGAAGUACUGUUUAUUUGCAUUUAUGGACAUGUCCAUGAGGGGGAGGAAGACCCAUACUUUAGGCCAGCAGAGUAUUAGUUGGUACAUAGCAGCUUUAUAGUGUUUUAUAUAAAAAAAAAAGGCAGAAAGCACUUUUACAACCUAUUCCUGGUUCUCAAAUGGAGAACUGUAGCUUGUACAAACCAUGAGUCCCAGGAAAUACUGACAUAUACAACCCUAAACCUAAUUUGUUUGGUUGGUUUUUGUUUUAUAUCAGUCCUAACAAAAAUAUUCAAGACCUUUCAUUUCUAUCAAAGUGCAAUAUACUGCAUACAUAAUUCCACACCUGUAAACCAUAUAGUAUACAUGCCAUGCACUUAUCUAUAGAAGUUUGUAUAAGAAAUUGCAGAAGUAUGAAUAUAUUGUGCAUGUUUGUUCUGACAAGGACACUGUGCAAGCAAGAAAUACCUAUAUUGCAUGUUGUAGAAUAAAAUUUACUAGUAACUUCUGUGCCUGAUCAUUACAAAAAAAACCUGACAAAUGCUCCAAUAUUAAGUCCUGUGCUUCAGCUCCAUCCUUGUUAGAGAACUCUGAGCUAUUGAUUUUUUCAGGGAGCUGAGUUAUCUAGUAAGCUUGUUUUUUCACUAGCUUGCCCCUCCUUCCUGCCCUGAAGUGUGAUUUCCUGCAAUAAUUUAGUUGUUU